AUACUGAGGGUGCAAGCGUUAAUCGGAAUUACUGGGCGUAAAGGACGCGUAGGCGGUUUAGAAAGUCAGAUGUGAAAGCCUAUGGCUUAACCAUAGAACUGCAUCUGAAACUCCUAGACUAGAGUGAGGGAGAGGUCAGUGGAAUUAGUGGUGUAGGGGUAAAAUCCGUAGAGAUCACUAGGAAUACUCAUAGCGAAGGCGACUGACUGGAACUUUACUGACGCUGAGGCGUGAAAGCGUGGGGAGCAAACAGGAUUAGAAACCCCAGUAGUCC
This 274-nucleotide ribosomal RNA is filed under the name uncultured bacterium. RNAcentral's name for it is "partial 16S ribosomal RNA". It matches the Rfam family "Bacterial small subunit ribosomal RNA", at positions 523 to 796 of the family's 1533-position model. The record is from RNAcentral.